GAGAGGAGAGAGAGAGAAUUUUAAUAUUAUUUUUUAGUUUUCGGCGGACACAACAUCUUUGUUUGUAUGUGGUGCUGAGGAUCGAACCUGGGCAGCACACAUGCCAGGCGAGCGCGCUACCUCUUGAGCCACAUCCCCAGCCCUUUUAGGAGCUCUUUAUAAGGUUAAAGAAGUACUCUAUUUCUGGUUUGCUGAGUUUUUAAUCAUGUUAAAAAAUUUUAAAUGCUCUUUUUGAAUCAAUUGAUACAAUGAUACAAUCAUGUGAUUUUUAGUCUGUUCACAUGAUGGGUUAUAUUGGUUUAUUUAUUUUUAGUACUGAAGAUUGAACCCAGGGGCACUUAACCAUUGAGCCACAUCCUCAGCUCUUUUUUGUAUUUUAUUUAGAGACAGGGUAUUGAUGAGUUGCUUAGGCCCUUGUUAAAUUGCUGAGGCUGGCUUUGAACUCACGAGCCUCUCAUGCUGCUGAGAUUAUAGGCAUGCACCACCACGCCUGACAUAUUAGUUGAUUUUCAACUAUUGAACCAUUCUUAUAUUCCUAGGAUAAUUUCCAUUGGCCAUGUGUAUGAUUUUUUAAAAAAUAUUUGAUGAGCCAAUAUUUUGUUGAUUAUUUUUAUUUCUCUGUUUACAGAGAAUAUAGUCUGUAUUUUAUUUUCUUGUAAUGCUUUUGGCAUUAGGGUAAUUCUGGCCUUUAAAAUCCCUUGGAAAUUGGUCCCUUCUGUUCUAAUCUCUGGAAGAGAUUGUGUGGAAUUGCUACUAUUUAAUUCUUAAAUAUUUGGUAGAAUAUGACAGUAUCUUGGUCUAGAAUUUUAUUUAUUGGAAUUAAAAAAAUUUUUUUAGUUGUAGAUGGACACAAUAUCUUUAUUUUAUUCAUUUAUUUUUAUGUGGUGCUGAGGAUCAAAUCCAGUGCCUAAUGUAUGCAAGUCAAGCGCUCUACCACUGAGUCACAACCCCAGCCUUAUUGGAAAAUUUUUAAUGUCAAAAUUAAUUUUUUU
RNAcentral lists this long non-coding RNA (992 nucleotides) under Marmota monax (woodchuck). The record is from RNAcentral. Lineage: Eukaryota; Metazoa; Chordata; Mammalia; Rodentia; Sciuridae.